UAUUGGACAAUGGGGGCAACCCUGAUCCAGCCAUGCCGCGUGAGUGAUGAAGGCCUUCGGGUUGUAUAGCUCUUUUGGCGGGGACGAUGAUGACGGUACCCGCAGAAUAAGCCCCGGCUAACUUCGUGCCAGCAGCCGCGGUAAGACGAAGGGGGCUAGCGUUGUUCGGAAUUACUGGGCGUAAAGCGAGUGUAGGUGGUUAUCCAAGUUGGAUGUGAAAGCCUUGAGCUCAACUCAAGAAAUGCAUUCAGGACUGGAUGGCUAGAGGACCGGAGAGGAUAGUGGAAUUCCCAGUGUAGUGGUGAAAUACGUAGAGAUUGGGAAGAACACCAGUGGCGAAGGCGGCUAUCUGGACGGUUUCGACACUAAGACCGAAG
Molecule: ribosomal RNA, 377 nt
Filed under: uncultured bacterium
Lineage: Bacteria
Description: bacterial SSU rRNA
Rfam family: Bacterial small subunit ribosomal RNA
Source: RNAcentral